RNAcentral lists this transfer RNA (83 nucleotides) under Ensifer meliloti. RNAcentral's name for it is "Sinorhizobium meliloti tRNA-Leu". It matches the Rfam family "tRNA". From Rfam's summary of the family: Transfer RNA (tRNA) molecules are approximately 80 nucleotides in length. Their secondary structure includes four short double-helical elements and three loops (D, anti-codon, and T loops). Lineage: Bacteria; Pseudomonadati; Pseudomonadota; Alphaproteobacteria; Hyphomicrobiales; Rhizobiaceae. The record is from RNAcentral.
GCCCGUGUGGUGGAAUGCAUACACACUGCGCUUAGAACGCAGCGCCGGAAGGAUUGGGGGUUCAAGUCCCUCCACGGGUACCA